This 747-nucleotide ribosomal RNA is filed under the name Trematoda environmental sample. Its description in RNAcentral is "SSU rRNA". It matches the Rfam family "Eukaryotic small subunit ribosomal RNA", at positions 119 to 758 of the family's 1831-position model. Lineage: Eukaryota; Metazoa; Platyhelminthes; Trematoda. The record is from RNAcentral.
CUUGGAUCGUACAUACUACAUGGAUAACUGUAGUAAUUCUAGAGCUAAUACAUGCCACUAAGCCCUGACCCGCAAGGGGACGGGUGGAUUUAUUAGAACAGAACCAACCGGUUGUGGCUUCGGUCAUGGCCGUUGUACUCUGUGAUGACUCUGGAUAACUUUACUGAUCGCAGUCGGCCUUGUGUCGGCGACGGAUCUUUCAAAUGUCUGCCCUAUCAAUUGUCGAUGGUAGGUGACCUGCCUACCAUGGUGAUAACGGGUAACGGGGAAUCAGGGUUCGAUUCCGGAGAGGGAGCCUGAGAAACGGCUACCACUUCUAAGGAAGGCAGCAGGCACGCAAAUUACCCAAUCCCGGCACGGGGAGGUAGUGACGAUAAAUACGGAUACGGGACUCAAAAGAGGCUCCGUAAUUCGAAUGAGUACAAUUUAAAUCCUUUAACGAGGACCAACUGGAGGGCAAGUCUGGUGCCAGCAGCCGCGGUAACUCCAGCUCCAGAAGCGUAUAUUAAAGUUGUUGCAGUUAAAAAGCUCGUAGUUGGAUCUGGGUCGCAUGGCUACGCGCCGUUGCUUGUGAUCUCGGUUUGGUUACGACCGGAUUGAGUUCAUGAGUCGGUGUAGUGGUUGUGCAGCCUUUCUGCCGUGUCUGUUUUACAGGUGCUGGCGGAUUGUUGGGUUCGCCCUUCAGUCUGUCGGCAUGCUUCCGAAUGCCUUUAAACGGGUGUUGGGGGCGGACGGCACGUUUACUUA